CGGUGGCCUAGUUGUUAGAGCAUCUGCCUUGCAUGAAGGAGGUUGUGGGUUCAAUCCCCGGCCAGCUUGU
Molecule: non-coding RNA, 70 nt
Organism: Potamilus streckersoni
Lineage: Eukaryota; Metazoa; Mollusca; Bivalvia; Unionida; Unionidae
Source: the annotation of a GenBank genome assembly